Molecule: ribosomal RNA, 1499 nt
Filed under: metagenome
Description: bacterial SSU rRNA
Rfam family: Bacterial small subunit ribosomal RNA
Source: RNAcentral
AGAGUUUGAUCAUGGCUCAGAUUGAACGCUGGCGGCAGGCCUAACACAUGCAAGUCGAACGGUAACAGGAAGCAGCUUGCUGCUUCGCUGACGAGUGGCGGACGGGUGAGUAAUGUCUGGGAAGCUGCCUGAUGGAGGGGGAUAACUACUGGAAACGGUAGCUAAUACCGCAUAAUGUCGCAAGACCAAAGAGGGGGACCUUCGGGCCUCUUGCCAUCGGAUGUGCCCAGAUGGGAUUAGCUUGUUGGUGGGGUAACGGCUCACCAAGGCGACGAUCCCUAGCUGGUCUGAGAGGAUGACCAGCCACACUGGAACUGAGACACGGUCCAGACUCCUACGGGAGGCAGCAGUGGGGAAUAUUGCACAAUGGGCGCAAGCCUGAUGCAGCCAUGCCGCGUGUAUGAAGAAGGCCUUCGGGUUGUAAAGUACUUUCAGCGGGGAGGAAGGGAGUAAAGUUAAUACCUUUGCUCAUUGACGUUACCCGCAGAAGAAGCACCGGCUAACUCCGUGCCAGCAGCCGCGGUAAUACGGAGGGUGCAAGCGUUAAUCGGAAUUACUGGGCGUAAAGCGCACGCAGGCGGUUUGUUAAGUCAGAUGUGAAAUCCCCGGGCUCAACCUGGGAACUGCAUCUGAUACUGGCAAGCUUGAGUCUCGUAGAGGGGGGUAGAAUUCCAGGUGUAGCGGUGAAAUGCGUAGAGAUCUGGAGGAAUACCGGUGGCGAAGGCGGCCCCCUGGACGAAGACUGACGCUCAGGUGCGAAAGCGUGGGGAGCAAACAGGAUUAGAUACCCUGGUAGUCCACGCCGUAAACGAUGUCGACUUGGAGGUUGUGCCCUUGAGGCGUGGCUUCCGGAGCUAACGCGUUAAGUCGACCGCCUGGGGAGUACGGCCGCAAGGUUAAAACUCAAAUGAAUUGACGGGGGCCCGCACAAGCGGUGGAGCAUGUGGUUUAACUCGAUGCAACGCGAAGAACCUUACCUGGUCUUGACAUCCACGGAAGUUUUCAGAGAUGAGAAUGUGCCUUCGGGAACCGUGAGACAGGUGCUGCAUGGCUGUCGUCAGCUCGUGUUGUGAAAUGUUGGGUUAAGUCCCGCAACGAGCGCAACCCUUAUCCUUUGUUGCCAGCGGUCCGGCCGGGAACUCAAAGGAGACUGCCAGUGAUAAACUGGAGGAAGGUGGGGAUGACGUCAAGUCAUCAUGGCCCUUACGACCAGGGCUACACACGUGCUACAAUGGCGCAUACAAAGAGAAGCGACCUCGCGAGAGCAAGCGGACCUCAUAAAGUGCGUCGUAGUCCGGAUUGGUGUCUGCAACUCGACUCCAUGAAGUCGGAAUCGCUUGUAAUCGUGGAUCAGAAUGCCACGGUGAAUACGUUCCCGGGCCUCGUACACACCGCCCGUCACACCAUGGGAGUGGGUUGCAAAAGAAGUAGGUAGCUUAACCUUCGGGAGGGCGCUUACCACUUUGUGAUUCAUGACUGGGGUGAAGUCGAACAAGGUA